GGCUUGGUGAGGGGAAAGGCAGAUUUUCCAGAUUUCUUUGAGGUUCUACUAGAAACACUUCCUCAAGACAGAGUUUAUGAAGAAGACCUGUCUAUUGCCAAGGUAGCCUCAGAAACAAGGGAAAAUGAUGCCCCUGAGGAUAAAGUGCAUUGGGCAUGGCUUCUUAGGAACAGAGCAGAGGAGCAAGGCAUGCCUAUUGCCAAGGUGGCAUCACAAACUAGUGAAAGCGGGAUGAGGCAGGUUGCACAGGUGGCUGAUAUGAGCGCUGUACGGACAUCUUCCUAAAAGUGUGGAAAGAGGGGAUUCAAACUGUGGAAGGAGCCUCGGGGUCCAUCGAAAAUAAAGAAGACGUGGUCUAUGUAUAUGAUGGAAUAUUACUCAGCCAUUAGAAACAACAAAUACCCACCAUUUGCUUCAACGUGGAUGGAACCGGAGGGUAUUAUGCUGAGUGAAAUAAAUCAAUCAGAGAAGGACAAACAUUAAAUGGUCUCAUUCAUUUGGAGAAUAUAAAAAAUAGUGAAAGGGAAUAAAGGGGAAAGGAGAAAAAAUAAGUGGGAAAUAUCAGAAAGGGAGACAGAACAUGAAAGACUCCUAACUCUGGGAAAUGAACAAAGGGUGGUGGAAAGGGAAGUGGAUAGGGGGUGGAGGUGACUGGGUGGCGGGCACUGAGGGGGCACUUGACGGGAUGAGCACUGGGUGUUAUUCUAUAUGCUGGCAAAUUGAACACCAAUAAAAAAUAAAUUUAUAAAAUAAAAUAAAUAAAAUAAAAUAAAAAGAGGGGCUUCCUUCCUAUUCCGUCCUCUUCACUUAUAUGAGUGACAAAACAGGCAGAAAAUGGAGUCAGGUCUCCUGUUCUCCCACCCAAGUCA
This 869-nucleotide long non-coding RNA is filed under the name Canis lupus familiaris (dog). Its description in RNAcentral is "lncRNA (ENSCAFG00000050408.1)". The record is from RNAcentral. Lineage: Eukaryota; Metazoa; Chordata; Mammalia; Carnivora; Canidae.